GCCCCCGUAGCUCAGAGGAUAGAGCACUGGAUUCCUAAUCCAGGUGUCGCAUGUUCGAGUCAUGCCGGGGGCGCCA
RNAcentral lists this transfer RNA (76 nucleotides) under Nitrospirota bacterium. Its description in RNAcentral is "Nitrospirae bacterium (marine sediment metagenome) tRNA-Arg". It matches the Rfam family "tRNA". From Rfam's summary of the family: Transfer RNA (tRNA) molecules are approximately 80 nucleotides in length. Their secondary structure includes four short double-helical elements and three loops (D, anti-codon, and T loops). Lineage: Bacteria; Pseudomonadati; Nitrospirota. RNAcentral also lists the same sequence under 1 other name. The record is from RNAcentral.